AAAUCACAUCGUGACAUUGCUUGGAGAGAGGGAAGACAACUUGGAGAGAGGGAGGAUAUGGUAAAGAAUGUGUGGCUUCCAAAUGUUGUUAGAUGCUAUAACAUUUAUCAAUCCUAGCUAGGAUAACCAAUUGUGAGGGAUCCUGGGCAUGGCACUUGAGAAGGCUGUGUGAUUUCUACCACUAUUGUAGCUCCUAAAAUUGUUUAGGAGUGUUUCUCCACCAUUAGUCACCCUUUUGUUUGGUACUUUAGCUCCCAGAAUCUAUCAUCUAUGUUGGAGGAGAUUACCUAGAGCUGAAGGUGUCAAACAGUUCGGAGGAUCAACGGUUUGAUUUCAGGCUUUCCAAAAUGUCAAUCAUGUCAAGAUGCUCCAUAUUAGACAUCAUUAUGAACUAGGCUAACCAGAGAAGUUUUACAGACAGUGGUGAGCUAAAAGAGAAAUAAUUAGCUGCUGUAACAGCUGGGAACUUGUCUGUUUUACAUGUGUACAGGUGCUGUUUUCCUGAGGCAGCAGCUAGUAGAAACUUCAGUCCAACAACUGGGAUUAUAUUGAUUCUGCUGCCAGUGGAAGGAGAAAUUGCCUGCUUUGGGCCAGAACAGCUUUGACCUUCCGUCGUCUUCUUGACGGACGCCAUCUCCUGCUUUGGAUUUCGGACUGAACUGACCACGGCUUGACUUCCCCCUACUCGGACUUGGAAACUACAAACGUCUGCUUCUGGCUUGAACUACGGAAAGGAACUGGGUCUACUCUACUGCUUCAAUCCUCGGCUGAUCUGUGUGUAUUGGAAAUCUUGCCUGCUGUGUGGAGGAGUGACUCAAGUUACUCAAAGCACAGUGCUGGCAGCAGAGAGGAAUCUGCUGCCAAUUAAUUGCAUUCUUUUGAACACUUUGUUCCCCGGCUUCUGUUUUGUUUAUCCCCAGGCUGAAGCAAGCUCUUUUAUUUUUACCCGGAUUAAACUCCGGUUUAAUCCGGUUUAUCUUUUGAACGUUUUUCCUUGCCCCUUUUUGCUUUUAAAGGCUAAUACUGCCUGGCCCUUGUAUUUUACGGGCAUUUUGAGUUCUGUAAUCCAAUAAACUCUGUUAUCUUCGA
Anolis carolinensis (green anole) is the source of this 1089-nucleotide long non-coding RNA. RefSeq lists it as uncharacterized. The transcript is spliced from 2 exons. Lineage: Eukaryota; Metazoa; Chordata; Lepidosauria; Squamata; Anolidae. The record is from RefSeq and is a predicted model, not a curated record.